RNAcentral lists this ribosomal RNA (27 nucleotides) under Diphterostomum brusinae. RNAcentral describes it as "partial 5.8S ribosomal RNA". Lineage: Eukaryota; Metazoa; Platyhelminthes; Trematoda; Plagiorchiida; Zoogonidae. The record is from RNAcentral.
GUACACUCUGAGCGGUGGAUCACUCGG